UACGGGGGGGGCAAGCGUUGUUCGGAAUUACUGGGCGUAAAGGGCGCGUAGGUGGCCUGUUAAGUCGGGUGUGAAAACUCUGGGCUCAACCCAGAGCCUGCAUUCGAUACUGAUGGGCUAGAGUUCUGGAGGGGAAAGCGGAAUUCCUGGUGUAGCGGUGAAAUGCGUAGAUAUCAGGAGGAACACCGGUGGCGAAGGCGGCUUUCUGGACAGAAACUGACACUGAGGCGCGAAAGCUAGGGGAGCAAAC
RNAcentral lists this ribosomal RNA (250 nucleotides) under uncultured bacterium. RNAcentral describes it as "partial 16S ribosomal RNA". It matches the Rfam family "Bacterial small subunit ribosomal RNA", at positions 524 to 773 of the family's 1533-position model. The record is from RNAcentral.